CAGUCGCCGCGGGAAUACAGAGGGUGCGAGCGUUAAUCGGAUUUACUGGGCGUAAAGCGUGCGUAGGCGGCUUCUUAAGUCGGAUGUGAAAUCCCUGAGCUUAACUUAGUAAUUGCAUUCGAUACUGGGAGGCUAGAGUAUGGGAGAGGAUGGUAGAAUUCCAGGUGUAGCGGUGAAAUGCGUAGAGAUCUGGAGGAAUACCGAUGGCGAAGGCAGCCAUCUGGCCUAAUACUGACGCUGAGGUACGAAAGCAUGGGGAGCAAACAGGAUUAGAUACCCCAGUAGUCCCUGUCUCUUAUAC
This 301-nucleotide ribosomal RNA is filed under the name uncultured bacterium. RNAcentral's name for it is "partial 16S ribosomal RNA". It matches the Rfam family "Bacterial small subunit ribosomal RNA", at positions 509 to 807 of the family's 1533-position model. The record is from RNAcentral.